RNAcentral lists this ribosomal RNA (445 nucleotides) under uncultured bacterium. Its description in RNAcentral is "bacterial SSU rRNA". It matches the Rfam family "Bacterial small subunit ribosomal RNA", at positions 331 to 792 of the family's 1533-position model. The record is from RNAcentral.
CCAGACUCCUACGGGAGGCAGCAGUGGGGGAUAUUGCACAAUGGGGGAAACCCUGAUGCAGCGACGCCGCGUGUGGGAAGACGGUCUUCUGGAUUGUAAACCACUGUCCCCAGGGACGAAAAUGACGGUACCUGGGGAGGAAGCUCCGGCUAACUACGUGCCAGCAGCCGCGGUAAUACGUAGGGGGCAAGCGUUAUCCGGAUUUACUGGGUGUAAAGGGAGCGUAGACGGUGCAGCAAGUCUGAUGUGAAAGGUCGGGGCCCAACCCCGGGACUGCAUUGGAAACUGUUGAACUGGAGUACAGGAGAGGUAGGCGGAAUUCCUAGUGUAGCGGUGAAAUGCGUAGAUAUUAGGAGGAACACCAGUGGCGAAGGCGGCUUACUGGACUGUAACUGACGUUGAGGCUCGAAAGCGUGGGGAGCAAACAGGAUUAGAUACCCCAGUA